GUGAUUUAAUUGUACGGUAAUCCGUGAACAUCCGUCUAAUUAAAUGUGGUAAAGUGAAAGUGAUAGUGUAAAUAGUUUUUAUAUAAAGUGUCUUUUUAGUGAUGUACUUUAGUUUUGCAAAAAAAUAGAUUUUAAAAAAUUUCAGAAGUCAACCUUGCUUUAUGAAUCAAAUGUGCUGGUGAUUAUUUUAUGAUGCAGGUGUGCGCUCGAAUUUUCUUCAAAAGAUAUCAAGAAAAUUGGCGACAGUUUUCGGAGAAUCAAAAGGAUUUUGGAAGAUUUUUCGACUAUUUUUAGAAAGUUAAAAAUACGGCUAAAGGUCUGCUAAAGAGGCUCGGCGCAAUGUUUAUUAUAAAACUUGCACUAAAAACUAAUUACUUCGAA
This is a long non-coding RNA of Ctenocephalides felis (cat flea), 381 nucleotides long. RefSeq lists it as uncharacterized. The transcript has 3 exons. The record is from RefSeq and is a predicted model, not a curated record. NCBI's taxonomy places the organism in Eukaryota, Metazoa, Arthropoda, Insecta, Siphonaptera, Pulicidae.